This 1099-nucleotide long non-coding RNA is filed under the name Phoenix dactylifera (date palm). RNAcentral describes it as "long non-coding RNA (PDAC_LNC014076)". Lineage: Eukaryota; Viridiplantae; Streptophyta; Magnoliopsida; Arecales; Arecaceae. The record is from RNAcentral.
CCUCUUGGAUUAACCCAACCAACCGUGACCGACCUCCCAUCCGAAGAACAAGCCUUCCAUGCUAGUCUUCCCCUGUUCCACAACGUUCAUCUACGAGUCAUCAUCCCAGCUCACGGCUCUUCACUCCUUCCCAGCCGAAUCAACCAACCUUCUCCGGAUUCCACGUCCACGAACAGAUCCAGCUCCUCCCAGCCGAGAUCCCAACGUCUCUCCCCUGUUUCACGCGUCUUCAUCUCAUCCUCUUCCCCUGUUUCGAAACAAAGGAAACAACCAUCCGUGAUUCAAGGCCCCUUUCGGAUCAACUCUCGGCCAUCCCGCUCCACGGACGAAGCUCACGCAUACCCCCCUGCCUCCAGCUCUUAUCCACGAGUUCCUCCCAACCGGGAACAUCAUCCCGUUCAGAUUGGCCCAAAGCUUCACGGCAUAGAACCAGAUCCCAACUUCUUCCGCUAGAUUACAGUAAGGAUGAGCAUUCCGAACGCCCAGAUUUCUUCCCAGCAUCCUAUGAAUUUGGCUUACAUUUCGUUGUGAUCUAUCUUCAUCCAAGUUCAUCCCAACAUCCACGUUUGAUCCCAGCUACAUCUAUCUUCAUCCCGCAUCCAACCGGAUUCCCAACUUCUUCCCAGUACCCCAACUCUUCCGGAUUUCUUCCCAGCUUGCAGCUUUAUCCUCUGUUUCAGAGCAGAGAAUCAGCCAUCCAGCCGAGAUCUUCUCCGCAUAUUCCCACAGUUGCAGCUUUCCUCCCAACCUUCUCCAAGAUCUUGCUCACAGCAUCAAUCUCCUUCCGCAUCCCCUGCUUCGGAACAGAGUCCGAGUCUUCAUCAAUUCAACCAUCCAGCCGUUCCCAAGCUUCCUUUCUUCCGGAUUGAGUCCAAUAACCACGGAUAGCCCCAAAUCCCAGCGAAGCCAGCACCUACACAGCGUCCGAGUACUCCGCGAUCCGACUCUAUCCGCAAGUAAGCUUCAUCCUUCCGCAUGAUCCUCCCAUUCGGAACAGCCACGAAACAGGGGAGGGGCAGCCUAUAUAAAGAGGAGUUCUUCUCUUCCCGAGGGGCCAUCUCUCACAGGCCAAGUUCCCACGGGAAGAAGACAAUAGGAA